This 6547-nucleotide long non-coding RNA is filed under the name Sus scrofa (pig). RNAcentral describes it as "lncRNA (ENSSSCG00015029127.1)". The record is from RNAcentral. Lineage: Eukaryota; Metazoa; Chordata; Mammalia; Artiodactyla; Suidae.
UUGCUUUGUCUACAUGAGUCGGGAAGACUGGAGAUAAGAGUGGGAUAGACAUGCAGCCUUGUUUCUGUCGAGCACCAGAAGCCUGCAUCAGGUCCGCUGGACAUCUCCCUUUGGAUGUCUCGUCGAGAGAUUAUUAGUACAACAGGAGACGAGGGGCUAAAGGUAAGGCAGACCCUAUGUAUUUUUCUCCUCGUCUCUGCUUCUCAGACUUGUCCUUUUGGAGAGCAGUGAUAAAGCAGAUGGAUUUAGUUUUUAUGUCAGUCAUCAUCAGCUGGGUGGAAGUUUUUGUGUGAAAGAAAAGGCUAGCAUUAAAUUGAUUGAUGGUUCAUUUUUCCUGUUUGCUCCUUGGUCAUUGGAGUGACACCAGGAGGGCUGUCUCGUUAGAGGAGUGUGAGACAAUGGCUCUGACACACAUAGAAUUCAUCGCUUGUAAUUGAUCCCUGGAAAUAGCAUAGUCACACAUCGUCCCCAAUAAAUUUGCCUGCUGAACUACUUGGGACAAUCUACCCUGCACUUUUUUCAAAGGCUAUAAGAAAUUAACAGCAUGUAAUCUCACAAGGAAUAUUUGUCGUCGAAUUUCUCCAACAAAUGGGAGAUGACAAAUAUUUCACAUGUGGAUUAAUAAUUUCACCUUUGAGUUUUCUUCAUUUCCGGUCACAACCAGGCCAUACAAGAUGUACAAAUGUGUGAUUUCAGGCACAGCUGUGGUUGUACAAGGCACAGGUGUUGUGUCCUAGCAGACUUUAGCCUUAGAUCCUAUUGUUGUUAUCACUCCCCUUAUCAAAACAUCCAGGGUUUUUGCCCUAGCAGGUGAUGCUCCAAGAAGGAAGGAAGAAAUAAUUCUCCAACUGGACCCAAUAUUGUCCACCAGGGUUUACUUUCCCCUGGGGACUUGCUCAUAGAAAAUUCCUCUGCCACCAGCCUGCCCCCAGAAAUGGCUGCAGCCCCUUGAGUGCUCCAACAUAAGUGGGGACAAAAUCUUCUGUCUCUGGCUGUCCUUAGCACAGAUAAGCCUGGCUGGACCUGUCAGAGAAAAUUGAAGAACAAAAGGAGCACACAGGAGGGAUAAACACAAAGAAGGCAAGAAUGAUAAAAUGCUCUGCUUAGAAAGUGCAAAUUUCUGAACCUGCCUGAGCCACCGAGCUCUGAAGGCUCAAGGGCCCUUCUCUUUCUAUAAUUUUCUCCUGAGGAUGGUGCUAUGCUUAACCUGAAAAGAGAGCAGGGCGCCUGACUUCCUGGCUUCUCAGCAAUGGUGUCACUAGUUAUAGAUGCCUCUCCGCAGAAAGUCUGAGUUCUCCUUUUGUUCUUCUCAUGCAGACAGUAUCAAAGCAGCUCACCCUUCUUCCAGCAGGAAACGUGAAUGUGUGAAAAGAGCGACCAUUUGUUAGACUCUGUUUCUGGCCCAGCAUCAUGAUGUUUCUUAGGGUAAGGGGCAGGGGAGGAUGGAGAGGCAAUAGUGAAGAAACUGUUUUGUGAUUCAGAGGAAAGAGCAAGGUGACAAAAAAAAAAAAGGACCAUGAUUUAAUUUUAAUUAAAAUUAAAUAGGCAUACAUGACUGGUGGUUAAUGUUUUAGUGAAGCUCAAGAGACUAAGCGUGGCAGGGGCCCAGCAGAAAGUAGGUCCAGCAUCUCUGCCGCAAAGGCAAAGUCAUCCCCCGUCCUGCCCUGCCCCGCUCCACCCCGCCUGCUGGUCAAGGCCCCUCUGUCUCCCUCCUCCUGAAAGAGCACUGGACUAGAGUGUAGGUCAAGAGUGGCAAUGAUUUGGCUGUUGGCUAGUGGCCUCCUGCCCUAGCCUGGCUGUUUGUGCCCACAACCACCCACCAGCCUGAAGGAUCAGGUUGCUGCUUUGAUUUAGCCUCUCUAUUGCCACUCAGCCCGCACCUUUGCUGUCUCACCCUCCUGUACAGUGAGGCCUUUCCCUGUCCAUUUGAUUCCUAUUAGAGAACCAGGCAUUUCCCCGGUGACGGUGGAAAUAAGGUAUUCCAGGUGCAUGCUGUAAGGAAGGCGCAUGCGCGCAUAUGCAUGCGCACACGCAUGCGCCGUCUAGACCAAGGCGGGCACCUGUUCCAUCCCAGGGAGUAGAGGCGGCCACAUUCCCAAGGGGUUCUGUUACAGGCGGCCACAGGCUCCAAAGCCCAGAGCUGAUUCUGCUCUGGCUCCACUUCUUUCCUCUGCUGUCUGCUUAGUAAAGGAGCAAAGGCCAGGCCCAAGGCCCGCAGGUCACUAUAGAGUAUGGUGACCCCUAAGAAAACAAGAUCAACCGUCUUCAGGGCCCAUCCCCAACCUGCAAGGGGUCCCUGAGUUUACUAGUUAUUUGGGAUCACAAAGAUCCCAAGCAAUUUGCACAGUCUUCCUUGCUGCCACUCCUCUCCUAACCAGAAGCAACCAGGGAGCGAGACGCCACUUCACAUGGGACAAAGGUGGAUGUGAGAUGUGCAAGACCAGACCCUGAGGAAGGGCCACGGUGACCCAAGGGCUGGGCCCUUCAGCCUAAACUUACCUCUAGACUGAAAGGUGAUAGGUCCCAGGCGGAGCCCAGAGGGAGGGGGUGGGCAGCUGAGAUGGAGGCCAGGCUGGAAGGACUGGAGGGGAGCCAACACUGGUGUGUCUGCACACAGGAGCUGGGAGAGUCUCCCUAGAGCCUCAGGGCUCUUCCAGCAAAAGGUAAAGUUUGAAACCCCCCCACACACACACUCAGAGGAGUCCAGCCCUCCUGCAGCGCUCUUACACCCCAUCCCUGCAACCUGCAACUUGGCCUCCACCCCUUCCCCACACUCUGCCCCUACUAUCCGACAGAGUUUUGAGCCAGGGCCGUAGGGGCCCUGAAGGGAGGCCGGUCUUCUCUUUCACCUUGGUUCCUGGGACGCGCUGCGUCAUCAUGGCAGAGGCCAAGAGCUAGAUCCCGUGCCCGGGAUGCAGACUGAGCAGAAAGGGUGGAGGAGGCCGAGCAUGGAGUUGUGGACCAUCUCUCACCCUGCCCAGAGCCCCCAGCGCCCCAGUUCUUGCCAUGUGCCCUCUUGUGGGUGCUGAUGGGGCGUGGUGAGAGAUGCAGUGCACAGCCACAGCCUCCUCUCACCAGACCCUGGGACUCACCCUCUGCCCCCGACUCUCAGACAUCUGUUGAAUCCUGACUUCAAGCCUCACAUGGUGAAGCUCCUCCCUGCGGAAAUAAAGGGUUCAAGAAGGAUCUGGAAGGAGACAGAAACUCAGCUCAGCUGGCACAUCAAGGUCAGGGGCCUCACCUCUCCUAAUUUUAAAGAGAAAGAUCUGUAAGCAGAGGAGAGAAGCCAACCGAGUGACCCCUGAGUGGAAAUCAGGGCAGAAAUCUUUUGCAACAGAAUCCCCAUGGGAAACAUGACAAAAUUAGCAACAGGAAUGAGGUCUCCCUCGGAGGAUACAAGAAUCACUGGGUUGAAAAUAACCACAAGGUCAUCUAGUUCAGCUGCCACCACUUGCCUGAAUUUUUCCAGAAAUUUUUGGACAAGCAGUCAUCCAGCCUCAUCCAGCAGCUCAGUACUCAGCAGCCCCCUCCUGAUGGUGGGCAAGGUUUUAAAGGCCCCUGGGGCUCUCGUGCUUCCAGGGGCAGCUCGCAGAGGGCAGCGGGCAGCAGGCAGCACACAGGGGCCCGGGUCCAGCGCUUCCCUCCCUCCGGCUGCUGUGUUUAUACUCCAUUGAUUCACAGCAAAGACUCUUGGCAAGAUCAAGAUUUCUUUACACCGCUUGUGUGGCUGCUUUAGUGAACCAGCCUUAAAACAUGCCCCCGAGGAGGUCAGUUUUUGGUUAUCGUUGGCUUUAAUUCCUGGAAAAGUUCUGGAAAUCACGAUUUCAGAACCAGAAAGAGCUUCGGCAUCUCAUCCAACCACCUCACAUGACUCGUGAGAACCGAAGGGAGCCUGGAGCCUAGGGUGGAAUUCAGACCUUAUUCCCCACUGUUCCCCCCAGUGCCCUCUGAGCUGCAGUCCCAGUGGCUCUGGGACCCUCCAGAAGGUGCUCAGUGGCCUCUCUAGGGUCUCGUGUUACCUGAUCCACUGCAGCCCUGGCCCCCGGUUCUCAGCUCCUCCCUUGGUCUUUGCAGCCCCAUUCCCGGCUAGUAGGCUGGGGAAAGGGUGUGCAGUGUCCAUGCCUUUUCAGUGCCUCGCUUUCCCGUGUCUCCACCUGUGCACAAGCCUAGAAGCGCUCCAAACUCUCUCCUUUUGGAUUUUUUUAAUGGAGGCUUCAUUGUAUUGACUGAUUAAAUCAUCAGCCGCUGGUGAUUGAAUGUAAUCUCCAGCCCUCCCAGGAGACUGGGGUUUGUGCAGCCACUCCUUGACCACUGCCCCCUCCAACCAUUUCAGCCACUAAGUCUUACUCGCCUUAAAAAUAGUCGUGCUUGUUUGGGCAGCUUCUCUCCACGGAUUGAGUCUUUCACAGCUACAUUUUUUGAUCAGUAUCUACCCUUUGCUUCCACUUCAUCCCCUUCCCUCCAGCUGUCACCACAGUUUUUAUCUGUCUUACGCCCCAGCGCUCCCCUGGACCUGCUCUCACCAGCGGACUUCACCUUCCUAAUUCCAAUGUUUACUUUUAGUCCCUGCCUUGCUUGAUGGCCUCAUAAUAUUUGGCACAGCUGACUGUACCCUCCCUUGUAAAACUCUCCUUUCGCUUGGGUUCCUCGACCCGAUGUUUUUCUCCUAAUUUCCAAGUAGGCUCUUUUGCCUACGUGACCCAGGCCUUGAAAUCCUGGAGUCACGUGGCACUCUGUCCCGGAGCUCCUUCCUGAGUCAGCCCACCUCUUUCCUCGUGAUCCCAUCCGCCCCGGUGACUUGGCUCGCCAUCUGUCUGUAAACGAAUGGCCCUUUAAUCUGUGGCACCUGCUCAGACUUGCUCCUGAGCCAGAAUGUCACCACGGGAUGUUGCAUAUGUAUAGCUCUCUGACCCUCGAUGUGUCAGAAGAUGACUCAGAACCUUCUCCCUGGUCUCACCGUCACCACCCAUCACUCUGCACCCCAGGAAACAGCUUACACUUGCUAUUCAAGGCAGACCCUGAGGGCCUUGAACCCCUUUCCCUUCCUAACCACCCCACUCCUCUUCCAAUAGGCUCUAAGGUCAUGUCCUUCUCUCUAAUGCAGCUGUCCCAGGCUCUGACCAUCACUUCUUAUUUGCAGGUAGCAGACACCUCUAACCACACCUCCCUGUGUCCACUCUUGACCUCUUCCAAUCCAUUCUCAUGUUGCAGCCAGAGAGGAUUUUACAAGGCGCACAUGGGAUUAUGUCACCUGACUGCUUCAAAGCCUUCAAUGGUCCCCAUGUUUAGGAUGGCACCCCAAACCUCAACAUGGCUGGAUUUCUGUCUCACAAUGCUUUUUCUCAAACAUAGUUCUCCAGCUUAAUUCAACAUUUUCAUUUCUUCCAAUGCCUCCACUCUUUUUCAUGUCUAAUUAGUUAGCAUUCCCUGCCCAUUAGAUUUAAAUUUAAAGACCCAUGACGUUAUGAAUCUGUUUUAUUCACCACUAUACAUAUAUAGCAAUUAGCACAAUGUCUGACAAAUAUUUGGAAACUACAUGAUUUAUUUAUUCAGAAAAUAGUUUUUAAAUGCCUGGUCUGUGUCAAGCUCCAUUCUUGAUUCUUGGUGAUGUGGAAAUAUUUUUUUUAAAAGAGAGACAAAACCCUUUGCCCUUAAGGAGUUAUAUUCUACUAGAGAGAGAGAAACACAAUGAGAAGAAUAGGUGGUAUAUCUGAUGGUGAUAACUGCCAAAGAAAAAAAUUAAGUAGGGAAGGAGGGGGGAUAAAGAAAGAAAGGAGGCAGACAGAAGGAGGGAUGGAGAGACAGAGGGAAGGAGAGAUGGAGAGACAGAGGGAAGCAAGCAGAUAUUUGGGGGAAGAACAUCCAACAAGGAGAGUGGCAAGUUCAAAGGUCCUGGAUGGAUAUAUGCCUUCAGAGUUCAUGGCCAGAAAGAAGGUCAGUAUGACUAGAGAGAAUGAGGCAGGGAGAGCAGUGGAAGAUCAGUGCGGAGACUCGAAGGGCUCCCUGAUGCAGGGCUGGUGGUCCUGAGGGAGCUGUCGCCGUGUCUGCAACGCGGAGCUGCUGGAGCGCUCUGGGUAGAGGGGUGCUGUGGCAGGACGAGGAUUUCAGCGGUCUCACUCAGCAUGCCAGCAUGCUCUGUUGGAAACAAACUGAACAGGAGUAAAGAUGGGAGCAAAAGUGCCUGGUAGGAGGCUGCUGCCGCCACCCAGGUGAUCCAUAAUGGCAGCUGCAACCAGGGUGGUAGCAGAGAGGUUGAAUCCUUUACACAUUUUGAAGGUAGAGGUGACAGGGUUUCCUGAUGAUCGGAAUGUAGCAUUUACGAGAAAGAGGAAUCGAGAACGAUUCCAACGGUAACCCUAAGUUUGGUUUCGGAAUCUUGGAAUCUGUUUCUGUUUUGUAAGUUCUGUGGUAUCAAAUGCCACGGGUUAGUGAUGUCAUGUUACUUGUUUUUCCAAGUGGGAAAUGAGGGGAGAGAAAUAAUUUGGGAGGUUGGGACUAACAUGUACACACUGUGAUAUAUAAAAUAGAUAAGUAACAAGGACCUACU